AAGAUUGGAUAAGGUUUUUAUGGGCAUUGAUUUUGGGUGAUUUGGAGUUGAUAUGAAUUUGUAAGAGCUUUGCAAAGUUGAGUUUUUUUCAGAUGACUUGGAUUUUAUGAAAUAAAAUAGGGUUUAUGUUUUUAGUGAUUUUGAGAGUUUUGUUGCAGAUUUACAGGUGGAUUUUUUUGGGUUCAUGGUUAUAGUUGUGUUAAAUAUAUGUUGUGAAUUUGAACUUGAUCUAACGGUUGAACUAAGAGAUAUUGAAGUUUAAUUGAGUCAAGGUCUUAGAAAGUAGAAUUUUAGGUUCAAUGAAGGUUUUUAAGAUAUUAGCAAUCCAUUGGUUGGAGUAAAACUUAUGUAAAAAGAUAUUAGACUUGUUUUCCUAUGUCCAUGAGAAAUUUGAAACCAAUCGAACGACGCAAAGAAGUGAAAUUGGCUCUAGAAGGUUGGCAACAAGAUUGGAGAGGGAGGCCAGCUAACACCCGAAUACAUUUUUGAGGUUUUCGUCAAUUUAGUAAUUCCGGUCCCUUUUAAAAAAAAAUUUGCUUGUUUUGAACUUGAUUUUUAAGAAGUGUGCAAAUUUUGAAUUGAGAUCAACGGUUUAUUCAUUAAAUAUUGAGGUUUAAAUCUGUCAAAGGAAUUACUAGGAUUUGGAUUAGGGUUUGGAUUAGGAUUUGGAUUAGGAUUUGGCUAGGAUUCGGUUUAAGGUUUAGAUUAGGGUUUAGGGUUUGGUUAGGAUUUGAUUUAGGAUUUGGAUUAGGGUUUGGAUUAGGAUUUGGUUAAGGUUUGAUUUAAGGUUUGAUUUAGGGUUUAGGAUUUGGAUUAGAGUUUAGAGUUGGAUUAGGAUUUGGAUUAGGGUUUGGAUUAGGGUUUAAGGUUUGGUUAGGAUUUGAUUUAGGGUUUGGAUUAGGAUUUGGUUAGGAUUUGAUUUAAGGUUUGGUUUAGGAUUAAAGGUUGGAUUACGAUUUGAUUUAGGGUUUGAUUUAGGGUUUAGAAUAGGGUUUAAUUUAAGAUUUGGUUAGGAUUUGACUUAGGAUUUAGGAAUUAUUAGGGUUUAAGAUUUAAUUAGAUUUGAUCUAAAGUUGAGUGAAAUUCAAUAGGGUUUUAACUAGAAUUAAAUUAAGGUUUAAUUGACAUAUAUUUGAGUAAAAGUUGUGAUCAUUCUAAUAUUUCUUUAAGAAUUUUAUUGUUUGUUUGAAAUUUCUUUGAGUUGUUUUGAAUUGGAUUACAUUUGUUUACCAUUAUUAUAGUCUAAUUAGAGCAUUGUUAGUAUUCUAUU
RNAcentral lists this long non-coding RNA (1270 nucleotides) under Physcomitrium patens. RNAcentral's name for it is "long non-coding RNA (PPAT_LNC008027)". Lineage: Eukaryota; Viridiplantae; Streptophyta; Bryopsida; Funariales; Funariaceae. The record is from RNAcentral.